This 378-nucleotide RNase P RNA is filed under the name Myxococcales bacterium. Its description in RNAcentral is "Bacterial RNase P class A". It matches the Rfam family "Bacterial RNase P class A". From Rfam's summary of the family: Ribonuclease P (RNase P) is a ubiquitous endoribonuclease, found in archaea, bacteria and eukarya as well as chloroplasts and mitochondria. Its best characterised activity is the generation of mature 5'-ends of tRNAs by cleaving the 5'-leader elements of precursor-tRNAs. Lineage: Bacteria; Pseudomonadati; Myxococcota; Myxococcia; Myxococcales. The record is from Rfam by way of RNAcentral.
CGAGAGCAACAGGCGCUCGCUCGAGCUUCGGCUCGAGAGGAAAGUCCGGGCUCCGCAGGGCAGGAUGCCGGGUAACGCCCGGUGAGGGAAACCUCGAGGAAAGUGCCACAGAAAAGCGAACCGCCUGACCGAUUCACGUCGCAUCAGGUAAGGGUGAAACGGUGGGGUAAGAGCCCACCGCAGAGCCGGUAACGGCUCUGGCACGGCAAACCCCAUCCGGAGCAAGGCCACGUAGAGAGGCGUUCGAGGGCUGCCCGCCCGAGCCUCUGGGUAGGCCGCACGAGGCGCGCGGUAACGCGCGUCCUAGAGGAAUGACCGCCACGCCGCGCGAGGCAACGAACGCGGCGAACAGAACCCGGCUUACGGAGCUCUCGUACU